Molecule: non-coding RNA, 56 nt
Organism: Triticum urartu
Lineage: Eukaryota; Viridiplantae; Streptophyta; Magnoliopsida; Poales; Poaceae
Source: Rfam
GCUCAGUUGGUAAAGCACAAGGCUUUUAACCUUGUGGACGUGGAUUCAAGUCUCAU